GAUGAACGCUGGCGGCGUGCUUAACACAUGCAAGUCGAACGGUGAAGCAGGAGCUUGCUCUUGUGGAUCAGUGGCGAACGGGUGAGUAACACGUGAGCAACCUGCCCCUGACUCUGGGAUAAGCGCUGGAAACGGCGUCUAAUACUGGAUAUGUGAUGUGACCGCAUGGUCUGCAUCUGGAAAGAAUUUCGGUUGGGGAUGGGCUCGCGGCCUAUCAGCUUGUUGGCGAGGUAAUGGCUCACCAAGGCGACGACGGGUAGCCGGCCUGAGAGGGUGAACGGCCACACUGGGACUGAGACACGGCCCAGACUCCUACGGGAGGCAGCAGUGGGGAAUAUUGCGCAAUGGACGAAAGUCUGACGCAGCGACGCCUCGUGAGGGACGAAGGUCUUCGGAUUGUAAACCUCUUUCAGCAGGGACGAAGCGAAAGUGACGGUACCUGCAGAAGAAGCACCGGCUAACUAUGUGCCAGCCGCCGCGGUAA
Molecule: ribosomal RNA, 484 nt
Filed under: uncultured bacterium
Lineage: Bacteria
Description: partial 16S ribosomal RNA
Rfam family: Bacterial small subunit ribosomal RNA
Source: RNAcentral